This 61-nucleotide microRNA precursor is filed under the name Rattus norvegicus (Norway rat). RNAcentral's name for it is "Rno-Mir-134_pre stem-loop". It matches the Rfam family "mir-134 microRNA precursor family", at positions 8 to 67 of the family's 73-position model. The record is from RNAcentral. Lineage: Eukaryota; Metazoa; Chordata; Mammalia; Rodentia; Muridae.
UGUGACUGGUUGACCAGAGGGGCGUGCACUUUGUUCACCCUGUGGGCCACCUAGUCACCAA